Molecule: long non-coding RNA, 1158 nt
Organism: Papaver somniferum (opium poppy)
Lineage: Eukaryota; Viridiplantae; Streptophyta; Magnoliopsida; Ranunculales; Papaveraceae
Exons: 2
Source: RefSeq, a predicted model, not a curated record
CUUCUUCUUUCUUCUUUUAUCUCCUGUUUCUCCUCUUCUUCUCGUUUCUUUUUCUUUCCUACUUUGUUGCCGUUCGAGAGAUGAAAUUUAGGAUUUAAGUUGUUUGACUGAUGCAAUAACUAGAUGAAUCAAAGACGGGGUCGUUGUUGGAGUUGUUUAAGUUCUGGAAGAAGGAUUGAGAAUAAGAAGUUAGGGUUUCAUGAAGAUAAGAUUGAUUAAAGGUUUUUGUAGAACUGAAUAUGAAAUAGAUCAAUUGGAGAUGGGUUUUCAUUGUUGUUAGCAAAGAAGGGAAAUUAGAGUUCGAUUCUCAAAUCGCAGUGAAGGAUUAAGAAAUUAGGGUUUCUGUAAUUUCUAUUGGAAUUCGAUUUGAUAAAGGAUUAAGAAGAGUUAGACGGAUUGAAUUAAAGGAUGGGUUUGAUAGUUUUGAAGAGUUAGUUUGAAGUUUGAGUUUGAAUUAAGGUUCAGUUUAGAAUUGAUGGUGAUGUUGGAAAUGUUUUGUGCUGGAUAAUUUGAGGUUGUGGAUGUUGUUUUGAAGUUGUUAAUGAAAUUAGGGUUGAGCUUUUGAAUUCGGGAUUUUGUUCAGAGUUUUAGAGAAUAACACCAUGGAUGGUGUUGAGGAAAUAUUAAGAAUGGAUUGAGUUGAAUUGUGGAGUCUUGGAUGUUCUUUGAGAUGUGUUGGUGAAUCAAAAUCAAGGUGAGAAGCGGAAUCUGAUUAAGUUGCUUGAGGAAAUUUACUUUGAGGUACACUUGAUAGUGCUAAAAUGAACUGAAUUGAAGAUAGAUAAUGGGUUGGUUAAUGUUGUGGAAAGAAACUGAAUGUGCAGAGAGUAUAAGAUGGUUGUGUAUGAAUUCUGAAGAUGACUGCAGAGAGUAUAAUGGAUUGAACUACUAGACUUCUGAUCCAAGAAGCAUAGUACAGGGUUUUUGAGGGAGCCUUAUAAUAAUUAGUAUCACUGAAUGGGAUGUUGUGACUGAAGUAUUAGAAAGUGAAGUAGAUGAAUGUGUUCAGUUGGACCUCUCUAGUGAAAGCUUAAAGCUGCAAUUGCAGGUAAGCUGAAUUGUGAUGCAUUUGUAAAUUUAUUUGUAUUCUAUGUACUAUUGUAUUGAAUUGAUAUUGAAAUGUUAUAAUGGUAGAUAAAGGUGUAAGAAUUAGAUUUA